Molecule: long non-coding RNA, 600 nt
Filed under: Prunus persica (peach)
Lineage: Eukaryota; Viridiplantae; Streptophyta; Magnoliopsida; Rosales; Rosaceae
Description: long non-coding RNA (PPER_LNC001576)
Source: RNAcentral
AAGGUCCCCCAACAAAUAGGAGCCACGUGUCAACAAAUGUAUUUUUUUUAAAAAUUUCGAAACUGUGUAUAGCCGCGCGGCUAUACUAUUUUUAAAUAUAAAAAAAGGUCCCCCAACCAAUAGGAGCCACGUGUCAAAACAUGUCUUUUUAAUAAAAAUUUCAAAACUGGGUACAGCCGGGCGACUAUACUAUUUUUAAAUAUAAAAAAGUUCCCCCAACCAAUAGGAGCCACGUGUCAACACAUGUCUGUGUAAAAAAAAUUCAAAACUGAGUAUAGCCGUGCGGCUAUACUGUUUUUAAUAUAAAAAAGACUCCAGCCAAUAGUCCCCACGUUUCAACACAUCUUUUCAUAAAAUUAAAAACAUGGAAUAUAGCCGUCCGACUGUACUGUAUUUUCUUUUUUUCUUUUUAAAAAAAAAUAGAAAAAGAGACCCUCCUAAUUGCAUUGGUUUGUACCUUAUGUAUAUUAAUUUGCAUCAUAUCCAAAGUAGAUAUUAAUGUUCCACUAUUUGAUAUUUUAAUAUAAUUUUUGUACCAUGUGUUAUUCUUAUUCAAUAAUAUGUGAGAAUUAUUUGUAUAAUACGUGAAUUGUGUGUGUU